CCUGCGGAGGGAUCAUUACCGAGUUUACAACUCCCAAACCCCUGUGAACAUACCACUUGUUGCCUCGGCGGAUCAGCCCGCUCCCGGUAAAACGGGACGGCCCGCCAGAGGACCCCUAAACUCUGUUUCUAUAUGUAACUUCUGAGUAAAACCAUAAAUAAAUCAAAACUUUCAACAACGGAUCUCUUGGUUCUGGCAUCGAUGAAGAACGCAGCAAAAUGCGAUAAGUAAUGUGAAUUGCAGAAUUCAGUGAAUCAUCGAAUCUUUGAACGCACAUUGCGCCCGCCAGUAUUCUGGCGGGCAUGCCUGUUCGAGCGUCAUUUCAACCCUCAAGCACAGCUUGGUGUUGGGACUCGCGUUAAUUCGCGUUCCUCAAAUUGAUUGGCGGUCACGUCGAGCUUCCAUAGCGUAGUAGUAAAACCCUCGUUACUGGUAAUCGUCGCGGCCACGCCGUUAAACCCCAACUUCUGAAUGUUGACCUCGGAUCAGGUAGGAAUACCCGCUGAACUUAAGCAUAUCAAUA
Molecule: ribosomal RNA, 523 nt
Filed under: Fusarium oxysporum
Lineage: Eukaryota; Fungi; Ascomycota; Sordariomycetes; Hypocreales; Nectriaceae
Description: eukaryotic LSU rRNA
Rfam family: 5.8S ribosomal RNA (bases 167-320)
Source: RNAcentral